Molecule: ribosomal RNA, 504 nt
Filed under: uncultured bacterium
Lineage: Bacteria
Description: partial 16S ribosomal RNA
Rfam family: Bacterial small subunit ribosomal RNA
Source: RNAcentral
AUUGAACGCUGGCGGCAGGCCUAACACAUGCAAGUCGAACGGUAGCACAGAGAGCUUGCUCUCGGGUGACGAGUGGCGGACGGGUGAGUAAUGUCUGGGAAACUGCCCGAUGGAGGGGGAUAACUACUGGAAACGGUAGCUAAUACCGCAUAACGUCUUCGGACCAAAGUGGGGGACCUUCGGGCCUCACACCAUCGGAUGUGCCCAGAUGGGAUUAGCUAGUAGGUGGGGUAAUGGCUCACCUAGGCGACGAUCCCUAGCUGGUCUGAGAGGAUGACCAGCCACACUGGAACUGAGACACGGUCCAGACUCCUACGGGAGGCAGCAGUGGGGAAUAUUGCACAAUGGGCGCAAGCCUGAUGCAGCCAUGCCGCGUGUAUGAAGAAGGCCUUCGGGUUGUAAAGUACUUUCAGCGGGGAGGAAGGCGAUGGAGUUAAUAGCUUCAUCGAUUGACGUUACCCGCAGAAGAAACACCGGCUAACUCCGUGCCAGCAGCCGCCGCCG